This 613-nucleotide unclassified non-coding RNA is filed under the name Aspergillus alabamensis. Its description in RNAcentral is "sequence contains 18S rRNA gene, ITS1, 5.8S rRNA gene, ITS2, 28S rRNA gene". The stretch from base 231 to 384 matches the Rfam family "5.8S ribosomal RNA". The record is from RNAcentral. Lineage: Eukaryota; Fungi; Ascomycota; Eurotiomycetes; Eurotiales; Aspergillaceae.
UCGUAACAAGGUUUCCGUAGGUGAACCUGCGGAAGGAUCAUUACCGAGUGCGGGUCUUUAUGGCCCAACCUCCCACCCGUGACUAUUGUACCUUGUUGCUUCGGCGGGCCCGCCAGCGUUGCUGGCCGCCGGGGGGCGACUCGCCCCCGGGCCCGUGCCCGCCGGAGACCCCAACAUGAACCCUGUUCUGAAAGCUUGCAGUCUGAGUGUGAUUCUUUGCAAUCAGUUAAAACUUUCAACAAUGGAUCUCUUGGUUCCGGCAUCGAUGAAGAACGCAGCGAAAUGCGAUAACUAAUGUGAAUUGCAGAAUUCAGUGAAUCAUCGAGUCUUUGAACGCACAUUGCGCCCCCUGGUAUUCCGGGGGGCAUGCCUGUCCGAGCGUCAUUGCUGCCCUCAAGCCCGGCUUGUGUGUUGGGCCCUCGUCCCCCGGCUCCCGGGGGACGGGCCCGAAAGGCAGCGGCGGCACCGCGUCCGGUCCUCGAGCGUAUGGGGCUUCGUCUUCCGCUCCGUAGGCCCGGCCGGCGCCCGCCGACGCAUUUUUUUGCAACUUGUUUUUUUCCAGGUUGACCUCGGAUCAGGUAGGGAUACCCGCUGAACUUAAGCAUAUCAAUAA